Molecule: non-coding RNA, 403 nt
Organism: Pelobates cultripes (western spadefoot toad)
Lineage: Eukaryota; Metazoa; Chordata; Amphibia; Anura; Pelobatidae
Source: the annotation of a GenBank genome assembly
UCAGGCUGGAAGCAAAAGAAGGGCCUUGAUUUUUCCCUGAGACAUUGUCAGGACAAGAUUAUGGACACCAUUGGCCCUCUGUCUAAGGCCUAUGAAGUUUUGGAAGCCGCCAAGGCGGGUGACGCGGAGCUUGAUAUUGACGUAGCGAUCGGUUGGGUGCAACGUGCCAUCUGCCUACUAGGCAAUGCUAAUAUGGCCGUCUCCGCUGAGCGCAGGAAGGCAAUCCUGCUUAAGAUUGAUCCUAAAUUGGCUACCAUGGCCGUCUCCGAACCUGGUCCCUCGGCUGAGGGGAUGCUCUUUGGAGAUAAUUUCGUAAGAGACCUGGGGUCUUACGUUAAAACCUUUACAGCCAUUGAUAAGGCCCAGGCUAAUAUGAAGAGGGUGUUUUCCCCUAGAGUUUUUG